UCAGGUAGCUAAUGCAAAUGAUCCCCAACAACAGAAUUCAAAUACUUCAAUACUUCAUAUGGAAAGCAUUACCACAGGAAAAUAAACUCGAGGAAGCAGGCAACCGGCCCUGAAAACUUGUCUUCUGGCAUAUUUCAGAAAGGCAACUGAUGAGCUGGUUGCUGACGGGCUGGUCCUGGGGCUGGCUGCUGAUGUGCUGGUUGCUGACGGGCUGGUCCUUGGGCUGGCUGCUGAUGAGCUGGUUGCUGACGGGCUGGUGAGACCAGGGUCUGGCUCUGGAGUCAUCUCUCCCUGGUACCUCCUUAUAAAACAGAAACAUUCACUCAUGUUCUGGAAUGCGGUAUCCCCAAAGACAUCGUAUAUCGCCUGUCAGUGUUAUCUCCCAGAGGCCCAUCCUCAAUAGAACACACACAGAUGAGCGUUCUAACAACCCCUUAUUCUGUUUCAAAAAACAACCAUUUGAUGCAAUAAAAGUAUUAUAACAAUC
Molecule: long non-coding RNA, 487 nt
Organism: Oncorhynchus keta (chum salmon)
Lineage: Eukaryota; Metazoa; Chordata; Actinopteri; Salmoniformes; Salmonidae
Exons: 2
Source: RefSeq, a predicted model, not a curated record